ACGGCCGCGGCAUAAAACCGUGCAAAGGUAGCACAAUCACUUGUCCUUUAAAUGAGGACCCGUAUGAAAGGCAACAUGAGAGGAGAUCUGUCUCCUAAGAUAAGCCAACGAAAUUGAAAAGCCAGUACAAAAGCUGGCAUUUACUAGCAAGACAAAAAGACCCCGUGGAACUUUUAACAAACCACUAACCCACGAAAUUUAGUAACUGUUUCGGUUGGGACAACCUUAGAAAAACAAAACUUCUUAUUUUUAAAAGACUGACAAGUCUCAUAUAUCAUUAGAUCCAGUUAAACUGAUUAAUGAAACAAGCUACCCCGGGGAUAACAGCGCCACCUUCUAGAAAAGUUCAUAUUAACAAGAAGACCUACGACCUCGAUGUUGGAUCAGGAUGCCCAGACGGUGCAGCAGCUGUCAAAGGUUCGUUUGUUCAACGAUCAAAAUCCU
RNAcentral lists this ribosomal RNA (444 nucleotides) under Brookesia tedi. RNAcentral's name for it is "partial large subunit ribosomal RNA". It matches the Rfam family "Bacterial large subunit ribosomal RNA", at positions 1927 to 2597 of the family's 2925-position model. Lineage: Eukaryota; Metazoa; Chordata; Lepidosauria; Squamata; Chamaeleonidae. The record is from RNAcentral.